GACGAACGCUGGCGGCGUGCUUAACACAUGCAAGUCGAACGGAAAGGCCCUGCUUUUGUGGGGUGCUCGAGUGGCGAACGGGUGAGUAACACUUGAGUAACCUGCCCUUGACUUUGGGAUAUCUUCUGGUAACUGGGGCUAAUACCGGAUAGGAGCUCCUGCUGCAUGGUGGGGGUUGGAAAGUUUCGGCGGUUGGGGAUGGACUCGCGGCUUAUCAGCUUGUUGGUGGGGUAGUGGCUUACCAAGGCUUUGACGGGUAGCCGGCCUGAGAGGGUGACCGGCCACAUUGGGACUGAGAUACGGCCCAGACUCCUACGGGAGGCAGCAGAGGGGAAUAUUGCAAAAUGGGCGGAAGCCUGAUGCAGCAACGCCGCGUGCGGGAUGACGGCCUUCGGGUUGUAAACCGCUUUCGCCUGUGACGAAGCGUGAGUGACGGUAAUGGGUAAAGAAGCACCGGCUAACUACGUG
Molecule: ribosomal RNA, 468 nt
Filed under: uncultured bacterium
Lineage: Bacteria
Description: partial 16S ribosomal RNA
Rfam family: Bacterial small subunit ribosomal RNA
Source: RNAcentral